AUGGGAGAAGGGUUUCCCCUCUGGUCCAUGGUCUCCAUGGCGUGGGAGGGGCGAGAGCCCCUCCGAGAUUGGAUAUGUCUCUCUGUCUCUCUCUGUUUCUGCAUUCCUGAUUCUGCCCUUUCACCAUUUUUUAUAUCCCCGGAGAUCCGUAACUCCAAUUUGGUUGUCCUUUGGACACGAUUUCUAUCCGAAAUUAGCUUUCUUGCGGCGAAAGAAGGGCAUCAACCGCCUUAUGGGGUGGCCACGAGGGUCAGGGGCGCGCCCCCUGCCUCGUGGGCCACUCGAGCAUCGUCUCGCGUUGAUUCUUCUUCCCCAAAAUCAUAA
RNAcentral lists this ribosomal RNA (324 nucleotides) under Triticum aestivum (bread wheat). RNAcentral's name for it is "partial small subunit ribosomal RNA". Lineage: Eukaryota; Viridiplantae; Streptophyta; Magnoliopsida; Poales; Poaceae. The record is from RNAcentral.